RNAcentral lists this unclassified non-coding RNA (2204 nucleotides) under Stegodyphus dumicola. RNAcentral's name for it is "delta-like protein B, transcript variant X2". The record is from RNAcentral. Lineage: Eukaryota; Metazoa; Arthropoda; Arachnida; Araneae; Eresidae.
CAGAAUUGGAAUCUAUGUUCCAGGUGUGGUGGAAUGAAGUAUCCGAGCUUGAGAGGCUUGUCAUACCUCGACCAUAUUUUGACGAGCUGGAGAUUCAGCAGCUGGAAGUACAUAUAUUCUCUGAUGCAAGCCCAAAGGCAUAUGGUGCGGUCGCAUAUUUCAAGAUUAGAUACCAUGACAAAUGUGCGACAAGUUUUAUAAUUUCAAAAUGUCGUCUAGCUCCACUGAAGAAAAUGACUUUGCCGCGAUUAGAACUACUAGGAAACUUGAUUUCCGCACGAUUGUCUGAUUAUAUACGAUCCACGUUUUCUUCUCUGAAAGAAAGUGACAUUUUCAUGUGGACAAAUUCCACAAUAUGUCUACAUUGGAUUAGAGGUGUUGCAAAUGAUUGGAAGCAAUUUGUUCGCAAUAGAGUUUUGGAAAUCAAAGAAAAGACAAAUCCAUCGAAUUGGAAUUUUUGCAACGGAAAGCUGAAUCCUGCAGAUAAACUUACUAGGGGAGUAAAUGCACGAUCUUUAAUUAAUGAUGAAACAUGGUGGAGAGGCCCCUUGUGGCUAAAAGAAGUUGAUGUUCCAAACAGUAAAGAAAUACCGAAUGCUGAUAUUGAUACAUUUGAAGCAAAAAAGGAGAGAAAAAAGAACUGUAUUGUUUUACCAACAUACGUUGAACGUACCGAUAGCUUGUUGAAUUUGCACAGAUACAGUGACUUAUCUAAGGUUCUUCGAAUCACUGCAUGCGUCAUACCGUUUAUUAAUAAAUGUAAGAAAAAUUCUGAAAGGUGUAAAGAAGCGCUAACUGCUGAAGAACUCGCAAGUGCUGAACGCUAUUGGAUUCGAUUUAUACAGCGAAGUGAGUUUGAAAAGGAUCUUAUUAAAUUGAUACGAAAGGAAACACUUAGUUCCGAUUCCAAAUUAUAUGGUCUAAACCCGAUCCUGACGGCAGAAGGACUCAUAUGUCUUGGUGGUAGAUUACAACAUUCUGAUUUUCAGUUUCAAGAAAAGCAUCCAUGGAUUAUACCGAAAAAAUCGAGAUUUACUGAAUUGCUAAUCAAAAGAGAACAUGAGAACUUGCUUCAUGCUGGUGUUUCAGAUACGCUCACUCAAACUCGAGAAAAGUAUUGGAUCAUCCGAGGCAGACAAGCUGUAAAAUCGUGCUUAACUGUUUCGUUUGCAGGAAAUUGAAGGCUAAAAAGGGCACUCAAGUUACUACUCCAUUACCAGCGGAUAGAAUUCAUGAAGCGAAUCCCUUUGAAAUCACAGGUGUUGAUUUUGCUGGACCUUUAUUUACGAAAAAUGGAGACAAGGUUUAUAUUUGUUUGUUUACUUGUGCAGUCACACGUGCAGCUCAUCCUGAAAUUGUUUCUAGCCUAAGCACCGAACAUUUCCUUCUAGCAUUUCGUCGCUUUGUAUCAAGAAGAGGUGUUUGCCGAACUAUAAACUCCGACAAUGCCAAAACUUUUAAAGGUGCAGAUGUAGAACUGAAGAAAUUAUAUGCAAAUAUUGUUGAUCCAUCUGUACAAAAUUAUUUUGGUACAAAAGGAAUAAGAUGGCAUUUUAUUGUCGAAAGAGCAGCUUGGUGGGGUGGAUACUGGGAGAGAAUGGUGAAGAUGACAAAAGGUAUUUUGAGAAAAGUGUUAGGAAAGGCUUCAGUUUCCUUUGAAGAAUUACAAACCAUUUUGACAGAAAUAGAAUGUAUUCUCAAUUCUAGACCACUUACUUACGUUUACAAUGAUCCAUCAGAGGCAUUCCCUCUUACUCCUGCUCAUUUCCUAACUGGAAAACGCUUAACAUCCUUACCGCACCAGGCUGGUCAUGUUAAAGAACAUAUUACAAGUAACAAAAGAAUUUUAAUUAAAAGAUAUUUGUAUCGGGAGAAAAUUUUAAAUGAUUUUUGGAGACGAUGGAAAAGAGAGUAUCUUCUCCAAUUAAAAUGUGAAAAUUGUUUCAAACCUGUUAAUGUAACCACUGAUUUUAAUAUAAAUUAUGUAGUUUUGAUAGAGGAUGACAAACUACCUCGGCAGCUGUGGAAGCUGGGAAAGGUGAUGGAAUUGCACAAAGGCAGGGAUAACAAAUACCAUGUGGAGCAGAAAAUUGUGAAAAUGGCGGCAUUUGCGACGGAAAAGGGGAUUUCAAAUUUUGCGAAUGCUUGACAGGAACUUCUGGAGAUUUUUGCACGGAAAUUCCAGCUUGCAGAAAUGGAUCUUU